CCGGGGGCAGGGCCCAGGUGUGACUGGGCGUGGCCUCCAGGUGAGGCGGGGUGGGACCGAGAGGAGUGUGCUUGAGACUGGGCAGGUGGUGGGGCCUCCAGGUAAAGCAGGGACGGGACCCGAGCAGAGGGCCCCCCAGACCCCGUCAUCCCAUGGCCUGCCUGCCGGCUCACCUCCUCAUAGUCGUUUUCCGGGCUCAGGAAGUCAUCUACGAUAGAGACCCGGGGGCCCAGCUGCUCACUUAGCACGUCCAGGAAGCGGUCAGUGUCCCGGCUUCGCACUGGCCGAGAGAAGACAUGGAGAUGAGAGAGGGAGAAGUAGACGGAGAGAAGAGAGACACCGUGGUGCCCCCAUCCUAGGAGCACCCUGGAGCUCUGUCCAGGGCCGCAAGGACACAGCCAGCAGGCCGCACAGUGAGCCCUCUCUGGUUCAGGAUCAGCGGGGGUGGGGUGGGGGGGGAGGUCCUGUCAGCUGAGCCCUCCCAUGGAGUCUGCAUCCCCAACUCUGUCUUGUGGCUGUGCAACAAAGAAGGGCCCCAGGGCUGUGCCUGGAUGUGGGGGUCACACCCAGGCAGACAGUGGGGAGGCUAGAAGGCCUUGGGCCUAGGCCUGGUGGAGCCCUACCUGCUGAGGCUGCCAGGCUGGGCACUGGAGGAGAGACCCGGGACUUGGACGUGGUCCCCACCUUCCCUUUGAAGCUGCUGUUCAGCCUGGACUCCAGCUCCGCGUAGACGGCUGACAUCUGGGGAGCAGCACGCAGCCUCGGCCUUGGGAGAGAGCCUGCAUCUCACAGCCCCCUGGUGCCCAGGAACCUGCCACUAUCGCACCAGGCGGUCUGCCCGGACCCUUACCACAGCCCAGGCUGGUGUCCAAGCCCUGUGAGCGGAGGCUGAGGCUGCGGCGGCACAUGGAGGAGGCCCGCAGGGAGCUGUGGCGGUGGAGCUCUGGCACUGGCUCAGGCUCCGGCUCCGGCUCUGGGUCCAGCUCGGGCUCAGGCUCUGUAGCGGACAGCGUGUCAUGGGGGGUGGGUGGGUCAGAGGGUGUGGGGUCCCUGGGCUAGGAGAGGGGGUGCAGGAGCCCAGGGAUCACACCAUCCUGAACAGGACACUAGUGUCUGCAGGCCCAAAGCCAAGGACCCCAGACUUCCAAAUCUCAACCCCGAGUCCUGCUGCCCAUGGUGGUGGGGAUGGGAGUGUGACAGGCUGAAAUGGAGGGGACCCUGUCAUGGCAGGGGUGGGGACACACCAUCCCCAAGAUUAUGGGCCCUAAAACAUGGCAGAUUGGGCACACAGACCCAUCAGGUGUUUCAAGUCCAAGGUCAUAGGGCCAAGGAGACAGCAGUAGUUCUGCAGAAAACUAUCAUGCCUGAGGCUCUGAGGUCACACACUCAAUCCCAGCGCCAUUGUAGACCAGAGCUGAGCUGUGAUGUGAUUUUAAAUAUUAUUAUUGUUAAAUAAUAAUAAUAGCAACCCAGAAGGUGGCUCAGUGGCUAAAGUGUUGGACUCUUAGGCGCGAGGUCCUGAGUUUAACGCAUGUGCCACAACAGUGCUCCAACUCUCUCUCUUGUGAAAUAAAAAAAGGAAGUAAGUGGGGAGGCUGAUGUUAGGUAUUUGGAAGUGGGAGAUAACCACAUCCCAGUACCAGUACCCAGUGAAUUAAGUGUCAUUCCCCAAAGCACAUAUCUGAGACAGGACCAUAAUUACUGUAGCCCUACCAAGAAAAAUCAAUGUGAAGUUCAGCCAGACUCACUAGCAGAUAAUGCUUCUGUUAAAACAUUGAACUUGGAAAGUUCCAUGAAAAUGGAUAUUUUCGAUGAGUUUUUUUCCACUUCGGCACUAAAUUAUUUAGCAGAUGGCACCUUAGACUUACCUCAUUUUGAUGAGUAUCUGUUUGACAGUUGAAUGUUUGAUAACUUUUUUAGUUUAAUAUUUAUUAUCACUCUUGGGCAAAUGUACUAUUUUUUUAAGGUAGUGUUUAUAGUAUUGUCAUGAACAAAAUGUAAACUACUAAAGGUUUUGCUUCUGA
Erinaceus europaeus (western European hedgehog) is the source of this 2024-nucleotide long non-coding RNA. RefSeq lists it as uncharacterized. The transcript has 4 exons. The record is from RefSeq and is a predicted model, not a curated record. Lineage: Eukaryota; Metazoa; Chordata; Mammalia; Eulipotyphla; Erinaceidae.